This is a long non-coding RNA of Gallus gallus (chicken), 459 nucleotides long. The record is from Ensembl. NCBI's taxonomy places the organism in Eukaryota, Metazoa, Chordata, Aves, Galliformes, Phasianidae.
CGAAGCUUGUUUAGACAUCGUAGUGCAUCCACGUUCAAGGCCAGGUUGGAUGGGGUCCUGGGCAGCCUAAUCUGGAUACAUAAGGGGCAUUUAGAAAUUGAGCAAAUGAAGAUUUAAGUGAUUUGCUGUUGCCAUUGGAUAUUGCAACAGGUGCAGGAAUGAGAAGUGAGAGCCUAGGAUACAUCAGGGCAGCGUGCAGCAGUUGGCUGUUUGGUGAAUGGCACACAGAUCCACAGAUGGAUGUGCCUCCUCUGCUUGAUGCAUGCUUCUCUGUGUGUUCUACUUAAGAUGAAAUACUGUGGGAGGUCACCCUGUCCAAUUUCAGGAAGGAAGUGUAGAUAUGUUGAGAAUGCAGCCUUGACCACGUUGACCUGGGGAAAUGGAAGGUUUGCUGGGGAGUUAUAAUUGUUGAGGUGUAUGAAUUAAUGCAUCUGGAACUAUUCAGUAUUUUUCCUCCAG